AUUGAACGCUGGCGGCAGGCCUAACACAUGCAAGUCGAGCGGAUGAAGGGAGCUUGCUCCUGGAUUCAGCGGCGGACGGGUGAGUAAUGCCUAGGAAUCUGCCUGGUAGUGGGGGAUAACGUCCGGAAACGGGCGCUAAUACCGCAUACGUCCUGAGGGAGAAAGUGGGGGAUCUUCGGACCUCACGCUAUCAGAUGAGCCUAGGUCGGAUUAGCUAGUUGGUGGGGUAAAGGCCUACCAAGGCGACGAUCUGUAACUGGUCUGAGAGGAUGAUCAGUCACACUGGAACUGAGACACGGUCCAGACUCCUACGGGAGGCAGCAGUGGGGAAUAUUGGACAAUGGGCGAAAGCCUGAUCCAGCCAUGCCGCGUGUGUGAAGAAGGUCCUCGGAUUGUAAAGCACUUUAAGUUGGGAGGAAGGGCAGUAAGUUAAUACCUUGCUGUUUUGACGUUACCAACAGAAUAAGCACCGGCUAACUUCGUG
This 484-nucleotide ribosomal RNA is filed under the name uncultured bacterium. RNAcentral describes it as "partial 16S ribosomal RNA". It matches the Rfam family "Bacterial small subunit ribosomal RNA", at positions 30 to 507 of the family's 1533-position model. The record is from RNAcentral.